Molecule: transfer RNA, 75 nt
Filed under: bacterium
Lineage: Bacteria
Description: tRNA-Val
Rfam family: tRNA
About the family: Transfer RNA (tRNA) molecules are approximately 80 nucleotides in length.
Source: RNAcentral
GGGCACUUAGCUCAGGGGUAGAGCGUUUCCUCGACACGGAAAAGGCCGCAGGUUCAAAUCCUGCAGUGCCCACCA